UGCUUUUCUGGUUUCUGUUUUUGGUCAGGUAAGAUAAUCCAAAGUGCAAAAUUACUCAGUUGGCUUGGUUCUGUGGCUUAGUUGGAGGGCUGCAAUGCUAUAUAUACACACAGAUUCAGAUUGUAGUGCAUCAGUUUGGUUCUAAGAAUUAAAAGAGUCAAAAGUGGAAAUGAAUAGAAGAAGCAUUGGAACUGCCAGAAUACUAUUGACUGUUUGUUCAUUGAACUUGAGUUUUCCAAUUACCGUGAUAGGAUUGGGAUUUGAAUACUUGGAUGAAGUAUCGUGUUUCCAAUCCAAGUAUGUGGUUUCCUUUCUGACGGAAUGUCUAAUUACGAAAAGGAUGGCAUUUCCCAACAACAAUUGUACAAUAAAGAAAGCUUGAACGUCAUCGAAAGUCCUGCAAACUACAUUAUAAUUUCUUGCUCAAAUAUCCGAUACCUCAAUCAACAAGGGAUUUUGAUCCAAAAAAAGAGGAAAUAAAGAAAGGAACUACGAGGCCCAAAUAGAAUCAACGCAAACGAUUUGGGCCCGCAAAAGAAGAAUAUGAAGGCCCAGAGAUCUUCGACCAAAUAGCUUGAUGGUAGCCUAGAUGAAAACAUUAGUGACAUGAAGGGACAUGGAAAAUGGGGGCAGCGGAUCCGCUCCCGAGGUUGAUCACUAUUUUUCAAAGCAAAAUUUUCAUAUGGAAGCUCUAGUCUCUCUGUUAAAGUUAAUAAAACGUCAUGAAAGAAAAUCAUAUUCUAAUACUAAUGUCAUUGGUGACGAAGCCGGGAGAGAAAUUUCAACGUGAAGUCACUAUCAUAUUUGCCCUUUGGAUUGUAGUAACUAGCAGGACAAACUAACAAACAGAAGCAACAUGACCAGAUUGGUUUUCUCUGGACUUUUUUUCUAAACAAUCAGGAGCAAGAAAAGCUUUAAAAACUUGGUAGGGUUCAUUCAGAGAAAGAGAUAGAGAUAGCCGCAGAGAGAAACAAUACCCCCAAAAUGACUACUUUGGGAGGCCUAAUAAUCAUUCCUUCAAGCUUUCUGUGUCUGCUCCUUGUCUUAGCUUUCAUCAAGAUCCUUCACAAACUAUGGUGGACUCCGAUUCGCAUACAGAAGCUGAUGGCUUUGCAGGGGAUCAAAGGCCCUUCUUACAGAUUCAUCUAUGGAAAUACCAAAGAAAUCUCCAACAUGAAAAAGGAAGUCAUGGGCAGGCCUCACAUUUUAUCACACGACAUAUUUUCUGUAGUUCAACCUCACGUUCACUCGUGGACCAACAUAUAUGGGAAGAAUUAUCUUCAAUGGCAUGGUUCUCGAGCUCAGUUGGUCAUAACAGAACCUGAGUUGUGCAAAGAGAUACUAAAUAACAAAGGCAGAGCUUAUCCGAAAAGAGAGCCCCCAAACAUUUCAAAGAAGCUAUUUGGAGAUGGCCUUGUGGCAACAAACAAAGCUGAAAAAUGGGCAAAAUUGCGAAAGCUGGCCACCCACGCUUUCCAUGGAGAGAGUUUAAAAAGUAUGAUCCCAGAUAUGGUAGCCAGUGCCCAGAAGAUGGUAGAAAGGUGGAAAGUUUAUGAAGGAAAAGAGAUUGAGGUGUUUGAAGAGUUCAGAUUGUUCACUUCGGAAGUGAUUUCAAGAACAGCAUUUGGCAGCAGCUAUUCAGAAGGACAGGACAUAUUUGAAAUGUUGAGGAAGUUAGGCUUCCUAAUAUUCAAAAAUAUUCUCAAAGUCAGGGUUCCUGUCAUCAGUAAGCUCUUCAAAACCAGCGACGAGAUCGAAUCGGAAAAACUUGAGAAAGGAAUCCAUGCCUCCAUAAUAGAGAUGGUUAAGAAAAGAGAAAAGAAGAAAAUGACUGGAGAAAACGACAGCUUUGGGAGUGAUUUUCUUGGAUUGCUUUUGAAGGCUAAUCAUGAAACCAAUGAGAACCAGAGGAUUUGGUGCAGGAGAUAAUUGAUGAGUGCAAGACGUUUUACUUUGCCGGACAAGAAACCACUAAUACUUUGCUUUGUUGGACUGUCUUUCUUCUGGCACUCCAUACGGAUUGGCAAGAGGAAGCAAGAAAGGAGGUGCUACAAUUAUUUGGCAAACAAACUCCAAAUCUUGAUGGCAUUGGCAAACUGACAACAAUGAGUAUGAUCAUCAAUGAGACUCUAAGGUUAUAUCCCCCUGCUGUUCACGUUGUAAGGAGAGUCGAAAGGGAAAUUAGACUAGGAAAGCUGAUUGUUCCUAGUAACCUUGAAUUGGAUGUCUCAAUCGUAGCACUUCACCAUGAUCCUCAAAUCUGGGGAGAAGAUGUGCAACUUUUCAAACCAGAGAGAUUCUCGGAAGGGGUUGCCAAAGCAACCAACAAUCAUGUAGGCGCAUUCAUACCCUUUUCAAUGGGACCUCGAACUUGUGUGGGCUUAAACUUUGCGAUAACAGAAGUGAAGAUUGCUUUGUCGAUGAUUCUACAACGUUACACCUUCACCCUUUCCCCGGGUUAUGUCCACUCGCCCUUACAUCUUCUUACAGUUCGUCCACAACAUGGAGUGCAGGUAAGGCUACAACCACUUUGAACUGCGAAGAUCAGAUCAGUUGCCCGUGAUUCUUGUACUUGGUGCAUAAAGUGGACAUAACCCAUGUUGUGCCUAUGAAUGUUGCACUUUGAGACAAGACAGACAAGGAGCUUACUUGUCAAUUAUCCUUUCAAGUUUACGAAGCGAUUGUUCUCUUUAGUUUUGCAGUAUUUUGCUGAGCCCAAAGUUUUCCUGUUUGUUUUUGUUUUUUGGGUAGAAUAAAAUCUUAUGCUUACAGUUGUAAUAAACAUUUUCAGUUUAUGGUAAAAGAAUUUUGAAAAAA
Molecule: RNA transcript, 2817 nt
Organism: Prunus persica (peach)
Lineage: Eukaryota; Viridiplantae; Streptophyta; Magnoliopsida; Rosales; Rosaceae
Gene name: cytochrome P450 CYP749A22
Exons: 5
Source: RefSeq, a predicted model, not a curated record